RNAcentral lists this long non-coding RNA (666 nucleotides) under Homo sapiens (human). RNAcentral describes it as "non-protein coding lnc-CT62-2:1". The record is from RNAcentral. Lineage: Eukaryota; Metazoa; Chordata; Mammalia; Primates; Hominidae.
GGCAGAGCUCUUCCACUGGGCCCUGAAGGCAGCUGGACUCCCUCUCCAGCCAACUUGGCUGUGAGCAUAGAACCCCCACAAAUUCUGCUUGACCCAACACCUCUUCUGAGCCCACUUUCUCCAGGGGUGGGUAGAAAUAUCUCAGAAUGUUAAAACUUCUCAGUCCGCAAGCCAUGUUAUCAUCUGGAUUUCAACAAAGAAAAGUGACUCCAGCAUGCAGAGUGGGAUCAACUUGCUCUACCAACUCUGGAUCUUCUGUCAUCUGGAAAUGACGGGGAUCUUGUACUCACGGGCAAUGCCUGCCUACUAUUAUCUUUGGAAUCAGCAUGUGAGGCCCCCUACAGUGCCUCAUCCAUCUGACUCAUGCCGAAGAUGGUCCAGGCGUCACCUGAGCUAUGCUACCUUUGGUAAAGACCCAUGCAGGCUUCUCUUUGCCCUGGAGUCACACUUUCUCCCCUAUUGACACCCCAGCCAGGAUCACACCAAUACCUCCAACAUCAAUCAGAAGUCAACAAGAAUGGAAAACAGACUAAAGUAACUUCUAUGGACAGGGCUGGGUCUAUUCUUACCUUCUGCAAAUGGUUCCCACUCAUAAAACCGGCCCAUGAAUGGCUUGUUGUUGUAGGAUGCACACUGUACCUCCCGGAUACUUCUACUGCUUUCUGG